UUUACGUGACGGACGAUGACGCCAUCUACUCGGCCAUCCUGAGGCUGUGUGCUGCAGGGUAGCCGAGGGUUGGCAAUGCAUUGGUGCUGAGGUCAUGCGCGGUGGGUGGCAGAGAGAGAGAGAGAAACAGAGAGAGAGCACAGACUCAAAGAUACUGAACCUGUCUGCCAGGCGAAGCAAACUGGUCCGGGAAGCAAAGCAAACCUGCCGGUUUGGCUGAGUAAACCAACUGACGUGGCGCCCUCUGUGACAAAAGCUUACGUGGCUCUAAUGACGUGGCAAGCAAAGGCCCGAUGUCCUUGAGUUGAGAUUAACAUGUCUGAUGGUACGGCAACUAAGUGGCGACUUAUCCCAUGGCAUGACAGAUGAGGUUGUGGCUGACGUGACAGGUGACAAAGAUGGCUCGAGCUCAUUGAUGCCUUAAAGAUGUUAGGGAUACGUGUGCAAAACUUCUGGCGCAUAUCUCCCAAUUGUAGUGAUACAUAAUGGCAUAUGAGGGCACGAGCGACAGCAUGAUACAAUGAAAUAUUAU
Molecule: long non-coding RNA, 532 nt
Filed under: Eucalyptus grandis
Lineage: Eukaryota; Viridiplantae; Streptophyta; Magnoliopsida; Myrtales; Myrtaceae
Description: long non-coding RNA (EGRA_LNC006335)
Source: RNAcentral